GUCCCGGACUCCGCCCGGCCCAUUGACCCAGUGGCUCCACCUUGGCUCCUAGCUCCCUCAUCUCCACCGUGGCCCGUCAGUCCACAGCUCCGCCGGGCUCCCUCAUCCCUCCGGCUCUGCCUUUGUCUGUCGUUGACCAUCCUCCACCUCGGGACUCCACUCCAGCUUCACCUCAUCCCUCUGUCCCUCUGUCCCUCUGGCUCUGUCAGGCUCUUCCUGCCCUCUGGCUCCAUCUCAGUCCUCUGUCACUCCAGCUCCACUGUGGCCUUACAGAUCCCCGCCUCCGCCUCAGUCGCUGGCGCCAUCUUUUCCGCCUUGGCCCUCCGGAUCCUCGGUGUCGCCCUGGGCCAUCAGCUCUCCAUCUCUGCCUUGGGCUCCUCCUCCACCUGCUCCACCGCCAUCGGUCAGCCCCCUGGCAUUGUCAGCCCUUCCUUCACUAUGGCUCCUCCCUCCCUCAGCUCCACCGUGGGCCGCCAUCAUGGCUGUGGCCUGGGUCCCGCCUGGCUCCUCCUGCUCCAGGUUCCUCCUGUCUCCUUCCUGGCUCCUCCCUCCGUGGUUUCUGUCCGCUGGCCCCCUCUCAUGUUUAUUGUGUCAUUGUGUUCAGAUUCCCCAGUGAUGAUCUCCUGUGAUACUCCUAUGCUGACAUUCCUUGUGUUACUCUCCAGAGCUCUGGGAAUUUUAAUUGCAAUGACUUACCAUUACAUUGUCACGUAUCAACUUGUAAAUAAACUGUUCACUUGCACUAAACCCUCUGCCUUCAUCCUGGUUUGUGACAGGUCAUAUUCAAAUAUGCCAGUGUUAUUAAAGACAUUUACACUUAAAGACAUUGACAAUUGGACUUCAUUGGCCUUAAUUUAUUUUUAAACAUGCACACACACACACACACACACACACACACACACACACACACACACACACACAUAUAUAUAUAUAUAUAUAUAUAAUGCAAAUACUAUUUGGAGAUUGUUUAAGUGGGAUGAGAUUCUGCUGUCAUUUCAGAGAGGUGAUAAAGUUUUUAUUAUUUUUUUCUUUUUCUUUUUUUUUUUGCCAGUGAUCCUAGUGACUAUAACACAUGUGCUUUAAAAGAGGGAACAGAAGAACAAGAGAUGACAGGAAAUGUUAAAAGUGCAGAUGAGCCUAACCUGGCUACUUCCGUCCAAUAAGGAGUGGCAUUUGUGAAGCGCAGAUGCUUUAGCAAGACUCCGGACUCCUCGUGUGGCACAGAUACUGCCCUUUCUACCCUGCUUUGUACUGCUAGUCUGACGGGAUCAAAAUAAGUAUUGUUUAAGGCUUCAGAGCACUUCUGACAUGAACAUGAAAGACCAAACCACCAGUGGGUUACUGUCAAUUUAGUUUGGUUUAUGGCUGAGUGAAGUCCUCUAUGAUUAAGGAAUGUGAACAUUGUUUAAAACCAAAUUCAGACUUUUGUCAUAUUAGGUGGUGGUGUAUUUAGAAGACAACAACCAUGCAGCUAUAUUGUAACACCAGAGCAAGGAAAAGUCAGCGUGGACCGAUACUAAUCUAAAAUAUAUUUAAUAAGUAGUGUACUGUAUUAGUAUAAUUUACUGUACAAAUCUUUACAUAUCCUGGUUUUAAUGAGGGAACCUUUAACAGGGAACUGUAACAGGUGACCAAGUUAAUAUAUAACCAUAUCAUUUCAUUUAUCAGUAAAUGAUAAAGAAACUUUGCCCAAAGAAAGUAAGUAAUAGUAAGAAGUAAGAAAUUAAUAGUUAGUAACUGUUUAAAGUAGAGUUAAUCCCUAAAGUGUUACCAAAUUAUUAUAUAAUUGCUGUUAAAUAAAUAAAUAAAUAAAUAAAUAAAACUGAUACAAUUUAUAGUAACUAUAAAAAAAUUCUAAGUCUGUCUGAGAUUUUUUUUUAUUUUUUUUUAUUUUUUAUUUAUUAUUAUUUAUUUUUUUUUAUCAGACUGCAAGGAAUUUGAAAUUAGACUUCUUUGAAAUAAGGUCAUUUCAAUGACUGACUAAUAACCUUUUCAUUGCUAUUGAAAUGAAAAUGUUGAACCUAAACAUAGGAGCCUAAUAAAAAUGCUCAUUAAAAAUAAAUAAAUAAAUAAAUAAAUUCUCAGACAGACUUAA
Long non-coding RNA from Cyprinus carpio carpio, 2095 nucleotides. Lineage: Eukaryota; Metazoa; Chordata; Actinopteri; Cypriniformes; Cyprinidae. The record is from Ensembl.